Non-coding RNA from Odocoileus virginianus texanus, 1462 nucleotides. The record is from RefSeq and is a predicted model, not a curated record. Lineage: Eukaryota; Metazoa; Chordata; Mammalia; Artiodactyla; Cervidae.
GUCAUCAGAAGAGGGCUCUGAGAGGGUCAGGAUACGGAGAUUGAGACUGGAGCACUAGGGAAGCCAUAGAGGACCUCGGAGAGACUAGAGCUACGGGACGCCAGGGCCUCCCACCCCUUCCCCCACGACGGAAGCGCUGGCAGCUAGCGGCCUGAGUUCUGAGAGCAGGGGUCUGAGGAGGGCCCCGAGUUCCGCGGCUGUUUUCACCUCCAAAGAAACUUUCCCGGACCUCUCGGCUGCUACGACGCUCCAACCAACCGCCGGGAGCCCGCCCCUGCCUCCGGCUCCGCCCUGCACCGCCCCCGACAUGCUAAUAACGACUCGGCGAGCGAUCGGAUUGGGUAUACCCUUCCCUUGGGGCGUGACCAUGCAGAUGAAGGUCGGCGCGCCCGUUGGUAAUUGGUUGCGGUAGCCACUGAGUCCCGUGGGAGGUAAGUAGGGAAGGCUGCAGGCGGGCACGUCAAGUUCGGCUGUGCUCGGCCGCUCUCGGGACCAAUCAGGAUGUUUUCAGGUUUCGCCGGGUGGAGCCUCUUAAAGGGCCAGCAGGAGAGGCUCAGACGACUCCUCCCCUGCUGAAGGCGAGACUCCCCGCCCCUGCGCGAUCCCGAGACGGGUGAGGCCGAGUCCGGCCCCGCCCUAGUUGUCAUGGGAACGGUAGUAGGUUGCUAGGGAAGGGGUUAAGGUCUUUUGGAGCAGUCCCUUUCCCCACUGCAAGGUGGGACCUGUUCUCAGCAGACCGGUAGGGAAGUUUCCCGUUUAUUGACUGGCUUAAAGCCCCCAACGGGACUGUGCCCCGCCCUGCAUGCAGGGGCUACCCUCCCUCCUGUGAAAGGGCCUCAGCUUUCUCUCCUAUGCAAUGGAAGCUUUGCACAGUGUCCACGUCCAGAAGGCCGCAUGCGGCGAGGCUGAGACCAGGAACUGGGCUGGAAGCAACUAGGAAGAAUGUGUUGGGGACCAGAAAGCUGCGAGGACCUCGUGAAGAUGGAGGGCCAGGAGACCCUGCUCUGGGAUCUUGGUGACCCCUAGGCAGCAGCCUGGUCCUCUUACAGCCUGGACUGUGUUUCCUCUGACCCCAGGAUAACUGUGGUCACUGGAUGCUCCUGAUGGCCCAUUAGACCCCAAACAAUCUACCCACAGCACUUUCCUGCUCUCGCCUCCUUGCAUUUUCCUCCUCACUUACUCCGGCGACCUCAACGUUCCUUAGAUAUGUCCAUUUCAUUCAUUCCCACCUCUGGACCCUUGCACUUGCUCUUAAUGCCCUUUCCCAGAUUAAAUGUCCCCGUUCCAGUGAGACAUUCCCAGGCUUGUACCCUACCCCAUACACCCCAUCUUAUCUUUGCUCCAUAUGUUCAUUUCCUCCCUAUAAGCUGCCUGUUUGCUCAUUGCUGUAUUGCCAGCACCCAGAACAGUGCCCACAGGUGCUGUUAAUGCAUAUAUAUUGAAUAAACAAAUAAAUGUAUAA